ACAUGGAUUCAGACACACUGCAAACCUUCCAGAGGGAGCUCUGUUGCUUUAUCUGCAGGAACUACUUAACGGACACAGUCACCAUUGACUGUGGGCAUAGCUUUUGCAGGCCCUGCCUUUGUCUACGCUGGGAGGAAGGCCAAGCUCCAAAGGGCUGUCCUGUGUGUGGGAAAAUCCCCCAGAAGACUGACUUCAACACCAAUAUUGUUCUCAAGAAGUUGGCUUCUCUUGCAAGGCAGCGCAGACCUCACAACAUCAACAGCUCAGAGAAGCAGAUCUGUGUGCUACAUGAAGAGGAAAAGGGGCUCUUCUGUGAGGCAGAGGAGAGACUCCUCUGUGGGCCCUGCUCUGAGUCACAAGAGCAUGAGGCUUAUGGCCACAGCCCAAUAGGAUGGGCUGCUGAGGAGAGAAACUUCUGAAGAAAAUGGAUCAUUUAUGGAGGAGCACUCAAGAAAUGCAAAACAAUCUAAAUCAGGAAAUUAGCAAAAUCCAUUCAUUAACGGACUAUGUGGCCCUCAGGAAAGGGAUGAUCAGAUAACAAUAUCAGAAGUUGCGCCAAUUUCUCCUGGAGGAGGAGCAACGCCAUCUGGAGACAAUGGACAGAGAAGCAGAAGAGAUUGUUCGACAACUCCAAGACGGUGAAGUAAGAAUAACCCAACAUAUAAAAAAGACGAAAGGCAUGUACAGAGAGCUGUGGGAGAUGCGCCACAUGCCGGAUCCCCAGCCAGUGAACCCAGAACUCACUUCCUGGCACAUCACCGGACCUUUCUGAGGAUGUGAGAAAUGUGGUAUUUGGAGAUGACCAUGAUGGUGCACCCGGGGAGUCCCAGAGAGCAGAGAACUUUGCAGCAUGGGGAGCUCAGGCCUUCUCCUCUGGCAGGCAUUACUGGGAAGUGGAUGUAACCCAGUCCUCCAGCUGGAUUCUAGGAGUCUGUAAAGAUUCCAGGACAGCAAACACAAAUCAUGUUCCUGCUUUUGAGGAAGCAUUUUUUCAAUUUUCUUCAAAGAGAAACAGCCUUUAUAGCCUCUCCAACACCUUUCUUCCCUUAACUCACUAUGUGCAAAGACCUUUGGGUCGGGUUGGGAUGUUUCUGGAUUAUGACAACACAGUUGUGAGCUUUUAUGAUGUUUCAAAAGGUUCCCUCAUAUACAGCCUUUUCCCUUUCUCUUUGUCUUCCCUUUUGACACCUUUCUUUUGUUUU
RNAcentral lists this long non-coding RNA (1202 nucleotides) under Homo sapiens (human). RNAcentral's name for it is "non-protein coding lnc-TRIM49D1-4:1". Lineage: Eukaryota; Metazoa; Chordata; Mammalia; Primates; Hominidae. The record is from RNAcentral.